GGCGCGAUAGCAAAGCGGUUAUGCAGCGGAUUGCAAAUCCGUUGAGGUCGGUUCGACUCCGGCUCGCGCCUCCA
RNAcentral lists this transfer RNA (74 nucleotides) under Azoarcus sp. RNAcentral describes it as "tRNA-Cys". It matches the Rfam family "tRNA". Rfam says of the family: Transfer RNA (tRNA) molecules are approximately 80 nucleotides in length. Their secondary structure includes four short double-helical elements and three loops (D, anti-codon, and T loops). The record is from RNAcentral. Lineage: Bacteria; Pseudomonadati; Pseudomonadota; Betaproteobacteria; Rhodocyclales; Zoogloeaceae.